RNAcentral lists this ribosomal RNA (486 nucleotides) under uncultured Actinomycetes bacterium. RNAcentral's name for it is "bacterial SSU rRNA". It matches the Rfam family "Bacterial small subunit ribosomal RNA", at positions 89 to 588 of the family's 1533-position model. Lineage: Bacteria; Bacillati; Actinomycetota; Actinomycetes. The record is from RNAcentral.
GGAUUAGCGGCGAACGGGUGAGGAACACGUGAAGAAUCUGCCCUCCACUUUGGGAUAACACCGGGAAACCGGUGCUAAUACCGAAUAUUGAAACAUAAGUGGCAUCACUGAGUUUUGAAAGAAUUUCGGUGGAGGAUGACUUCGCGGCCUAUCAGCUAGUUGGUGAGGUAAUGGCUCACCAAGGCAACGACGGGUAGCCGGCCUGAGAGGGCGACCGGCCACACUGGGACUGAGACACGGCCCAGACUCCUACGGGAGGCAGCAGUGGGGAAUAUUGGGCAAUGGAGGAAACUCUGACCCAGCGACGCCGCGUGCGGGAUGAAGGCCUUCGGGUUGUAAACCGCUUUCAGUAGGGAAGAAGCGAAAGUGACGGUACCUACAAAAGAAGCACCGGCUAACUAUGUGCCAGCAGCCGCGGUAAUACAUAGGGUGCAAGCGUUGUCCGGAAUUAUUGGGCGUAAAGAGCUCGUAGGUCGUUUGUCACGU